AGCGGGAUGGAGCAGCCUGGAGUGCUCGCGAGGCCCAUAACCUCGAGGUCGUGUGGUUCAAAUCCCACUCCCGCUA
Candidatus Staskawiczbacteria bacterium is the source of this 76-nucleotide non-coding RNA. The record is from Rfam. NCBI's taxonomy places the organism in Bacteria, Candidatus Staskawicziibacteriota.